This 539-nucleotide long non-coding RNA is filed under the name Anas zonorhyncha (Eastern spot-billed duck). RNAcentral's name for it is "lncRNA (ENSAZOG00000006971.1)". Lineage: Eukaryota; Metazoa; Chordata; Aves; Anseriformes; Anatidae. The record is from RNAcentral.
GGCUAUUUUGUGACAAAACUGUGUGGGUUGCUGCAGGAUAAAUCAAGGAGUCUCUGGAGUGCAACAAAAAGCCUCAGGAGCAAGCUGGAGUUAGCUGGAGAGUUGGGGGACCUUACAGUGCAGGGAAUUUGGGGCUUUUCCAUGACAGGUUUUUUUUUUUCCCCUCCCUGUCAUGAACAGUCAGUCAAGUGCGAUGUCUCAUUUGAUUGUGUUUCCUAAUGAAUCUUCUUUAUGCAAAGUUCAGCCUUGAGCUUCUGUUUCCUUCUCGAGAACACCCUUGGCUGCGUUUCAUGCAUGACUUCCAGCUCCCGUCAUCCAGUCACAGCGGCAUGCCCGGCUGAUAAGCAAGGAAGUGAGUGAUGCCAGAAAUUGGGGAUUCGGUACUUGUUCUCCUGAACUCUGUCAUGGCGUUUCCUAAGUCUCUGCUGGCAGUGUCUGAGGAAGUGCUCUGUGAUCGCUGCGGCAUCCUCAGCAGACAGCACCGAGGUGGAAGCAGAACUGCCAGAGUACAGAAAAGCAGGGGCUGAGACUAGGGAGGA